This 252-nucleotide ribosomal RNA is filed under the name uncultured bacterium. RNAcentral's name for it is "partial 16S ribosomal RNA". It matches the Rfam family "Bacterial small subunit ribosomal RNA", at positions 1066 to 1320 of the family's 1533-position model. The record is from RNAcentral.
CGUGAGAUGUUGGGUUAAGUCCCGCAACGAGCGCAACCCCUAUCAACAGUUGCCAUCAUUAAGUUGGGAACUCUGUGAGACUGCCGUUGAUAAAAGCGGAGGAAGGUGGGGAUGAUGUCAAGUCAUCAUGGCCUUUAUGUUCAGGGCUACACACGUGCUACAAUGGACGGUACAAAACGUCGCGAUCCUGCAAGGGGGAGCUAAUCGCAAAAACCGUUCUCAGUUCGGAUUGAAGUCUGCAACUCGACUUCA